GCGCGCACGGGUGAGUAACGCGUAUCCAACCUGCCCUUUACUAUGGGACAGCCCGUCGAAAGGCGGAUUAAUACCGUAUGUUGUCAUGUUGAUGCAUAUUUUCAUGACCAAAGGCUUCGGCCGGUAAAGGAUGGGGAUGCGUCUGAUUAGCUUGCCGGCGGGGUAACGGCCCACCGGGGCGACGAUCAGUAGGGGUUCUGAGAGGAAGGUCCCCCACAUUGGAACUGAGACACGGUCCAAACUCCUACGGAAGGCAGCAG
Molecule: ribosomal RNA, 260 nt
Filed under: uncultured bacterium
Lineage: Bacteria
Description: partial 16S ribosomal RNA
Rfam family: Bacterial small subunit ribosomal RNA
Source: RNAcentral